Non-coding RNA from Camellia sinensis, 431 nucleotides. The record is from RefSeq and is a predicted model, not a curated record. Lineage: Eukaryota; Viridiplantae; Streptophyta; Magnoliopsida; Ericales; Theaceae.
CGACAACACCUGCACUUUAUCCUCUGUGGUGAAGUCAAAUAAUAAAAUUCAAGUCCCAAAAUCCAUCCCUGGUUCUCAGUAUUCUACAGGUUUGGAUGUUCAAGUGAAGAAGAGAAUGAAAGCAAUAGAGCAUAAUGGGCCCAAAUGUUUGUCAAGGGGGAAGUUUGUGUAUACUGCAAUGUUGAUCAAGAGGGGAAUAAGAAUUGCUUGAAUCUUUUUGGGACCGGCUUUGGUGGUGCUUGGAGGACUUACAAAUCCAUAGAAUCUGGAAGACUACCUUCUUAAAUGAGAAGGCUUUUGCAACUGUAUGUAUUUAAAUCUGGAAGAUUACCUGCUCAAAUGUGAAGGCUUAUGCAUGUAUGCUUGUCCGUGUGUGUACAUGUGCAUUUGCUUUUUGAUGGAUCUUGAUGGAUCGAUGACAUUAUAACAAU